RNAcentral lists this unclassified non-coding RNA (258 nucleotides) under Hevea brasiliensis (rubber tree). The record is from RNAcentral. Lineage: Eukaryota; Viridiplantae; Streptophyta; Magnoliopsida; Malpighiales; Euphorbiaceae.
AAGAUGAAUCUGCUGAAGAUUGGGAAGAAAGAAGGAAGUUUGGAGCUGCUGACACUUUCAAAUUUCCAGAUGAUUUUGAUAUAUCUCAACUUAGUUGAGCUAUUAAACAUAUUAUCUGUAUUUUUGAUCAGUUGAUUAGCCUUAGAUUUUGUUUGCAUUUUAGCUUAUUGCUUUGGCAAUGGUUGAUUAUGUCUACUAUGGCCAGGAGAACUAAUAUCUGUUUACAAUGUACAGCCUAUACCACCUCAUCAUUAUGGC